UGGGACUGUCAGGAAGAAACUUUCUAGUGGGGUUUAUACCAGCUUGGAACAAUUUGAGGUUGGCAUAGGAGUUUGUGAUUAUCUCUUUAUAAGCAUCGGGAUUUGCUUUUGUUAGUUUUGUUUAGUUGCUUUAGAUGCUUAUAUUUGGAAUUUUUUUUUCAAUAAAGUUGUUAUGUGUUGCCAGCCGUCUGAGUGGAAUGGAUACUAGAUCACAUUUCCAGAAUCCAAACUUGGCA
Molecule: unclassified non-coding RNA, 236 nt
Filed under: Hevea brasiliensis (rubber tree)
Lineage: Eukaryota; Viridiplantae; Streptophyta; Magnoliopsida; Malpighiales; Euphorbiaceae
Source: RNAcentral